UGGAGAGCGCUUUCAGGAAGUCGGACUUACAGGAGGCUGCGUACAGUGCUGCCUGGAAGAUCUGCACGAUCCAGCCGUGGUACUUCAUGAGGGCCAUUUCGUAGGCCUUGGUGGCGUUGACGCGGAUGAGGUUGAGGUGGUUCUCGUCCGGCUCCUCGUUGCAGAUGCUCUGGAGGAAGACCUGGAUGAAGCGGAGGCCUCUUUUCAGCCACAUCAGCGCCAGCGUGGCCCCUACUUUGAGCCGCUCUGCUCCAUACAUUUCUUUCUCCACCUCCAGGAUGUUCUGCAGGGUCCGGAACUUGGCUGGGUUGGUGUCGUACACAGCUUUGAUUUUUGUGAUGUUGCUGCUUAUGUCUGCCUUGAUGGGAGUAAACACUGGGGACCCAAGGCAAUCGAAGAAGGGCGGCAGGUGGGACACCGCCUCGAGGAAGGGCCCAGUCUCGAUCUGCUUGUCCGCGGGCAGCGGCUUCAGCAGGUGUUCGGUCAGCAGAGCCAUUUCGGGUUCGAGGCCCACGGUGAUGCCCCAGCCGGCACCGCGGGCGUCCACACCGCACCCCCCGCCACCGCCGUCAGCGCCCGGGCAGUCACAGCCCUUUUUUUGAGGCAGUGAGCAGACCUGCAAUGAAGGGGAACAGCUGUUCUCAGAACGACCAACUGCAGAGGACACUCUGUUGAGUGGGAGGUUCCUGUAGGAGUUCCAGUGAGAUCUGGUGACUGAGCCAGCCUUUGCAAGAUGCUGGAUGACCCUGUGAUUUUCAGGUAGGAGCUGCUUGAGAGAAAUAGUUACCAACACUCUUCUAAAUUCCACACCUAGUCUGUUGCACUAGAAAUUCCAAGACAGUUUCUCUGCUCUUAAAGACCUCAGGGUGCGGUUGAAGAGAAAGAUGUGAGGACAAAUAUUUGAAGUACACUGUUAUAAGUGCUGUAGUGGAGCAAUGUGUGAGGCCAAGUGAGUUCAGAAUGGGCUUCAGGGACAGAAUCUAAGCCUUCAUGAAGUUGAAGUUUUCUCCUAUCAAAAGAAAAAGAA
Homo sapiens (human) is the source of this 1027-nucleotide long non-coding RNA. The record is from Ensembl. NCBI's taxonomy places the organism in Eukaryota, Metazoa, Chordata, Mammalia, Primates, Hominidae.